This 1851-nucleotide ribosomal RNA is filed under the name Triticum aestivum (bread wheat). RNAcentral's name for it is "partial small subunit ribosomal RNA". The record is from RNAcentral. Lineage: Eukaryota; Viridiplantae; Streptophyta; Magnoliopsida; Poales; Poaceae.
AUGGGAAUGGCGCAUGUCCUCCUGGCGGCGGCGUUGGCCAUGGUGGCCGCCGCGGCGACGGGGAGCGCGUCGCCGGCCGAGGGGAUCCAGCCGCUGUCCAAGAUCGCCAUGAACAAGGCCACCGUUAACCUGCACGGCUCCGCGUACGUGCGGGCCACGCCGGCACUGCUCGGCGACCAGGAAGAAGACACCGUAUGGGUCACGGUGAAAUACGGCUGGGAAAACCCCUCCGCCGAUGACUGGAUCGCCGUCUUCUCCCCCGCCGAUUUCAUCUCGGGGUCGUGCCCUAACCCAUCGAGGUACCCCGGCGAGCCGCUGCUCUGCACGGCGCCCAUCAAGUAUCAGUACGCCAACUACUCGGCCAACUACCUCUACGGGGGCAAGGGCGCCAUCCGGUUCCAGCUCAUCAACCAGCGCUCCGACUUCUCUUUCGCCCUCUUCACCGGCGGCCUCGAAAACCCGGCGCUGGUGACGGUGUCGAAGCAGGUGGCGUUCAAGAACCCCAAGGCGCCGGUGUUCCCGCGCCUGGCGCAGGGCAAGACCCACGACGAGAUGGCCGUGACGUGGACCAGCGGCUACGACAUCGGCGAGGCCUACCCGUUCGUGGAGUGGGGCGUGGUCGCCUCCGGCGGCAACCCCACGCGCACGCCCGCCGGGACGCUCACCUUCACCCGCGGCAGCAUGUGCGGCGAGCCGGCGCGGACGGUUGGGUGGAGAGAUCCCGGGUUCAUCCACACGGCGUUCAUGAGGGGACUGUGGCCCAACAAAGAGUACUUGUACAAGAUUGGGCAUGAGCUCUCUGACGAAACGGUGGUGUGGGGCAGGUCCUACACUUUCCGGGCGCCGCCGACCCCCGGGCAGAACUCGCUGCAGCGCAUCAUCGUCUUCGGUGACAUGGGAAAGGCGGAGAGGGACGGGUCAAAUGAGUUUGCCAACUACCAGCCAGGGUCGCUUAACACAACGGACAAGCUUGUUGAAGAUUUGGACAACUAUGACAUCGUCUUCCACAUCGGCGACCUGCCCUACGCCAACGGGUACCUCUCCCAGUGGGACCAGUUCACCGCACAGGUCGCCCCCAUCAGCGCCAACAAGCCCUACAUGGUUGCAAGUGGCAACCACGAGAGAGACUGGCCCAGCACCGGCGGAUUCUUCGACGUCAAGGACUCCGGUGGCGAGUGCGGCGUGCCGGCCGAGACCAUGUACUACUACCCGGCCGAAAACAGAGCAAAUUUCUGGUACAAGGUGGACUACGGGAUGUUCCGGUUCUGCGUGGCGGACUCGGAGCACGACUGGCGGGAGGGGACUCCGCAGUACAAGUUCAUCGAGGAGUGCCUCUCCACGGUGGACCGGAAGCACCAGCCGUGGCUCAUCUUCGCGGCGCACCGGGUGCUGGGUUACUCCUCCAACUCGUGGUACGCCGACCAGGGCUCGUUCGAGGAGCCCGAGGGCCGGGAGAGCCUGCAGAAGCUGUGGCAGCGGCACCGCGUCGACAUUGCCUUCUUCGGCCACGUCCACAACUACGAGCGUACUUGCCCGCUCUAUCAGAGCCAGUGCGUCACCAGCGAGCGGAGCAACUACUCGGGCACCAUGAACGGGACCAUCUUUGUCGUGGCAGGCGGCGGCGGCAGCCACCUCUCGGGCUACACCAGCGCGACCCCCAAGUGGAGUGUGUUCAGGGAUAAAGACUACGGGUUCACCAAGCUCACUGCCUUCAACCACUCGUCGCUUUUGUUCGAGUACAAGAAGAGCAGCGACGGCAAGGUGUAUGACUCCUUCACCAUCCAUAGGGACUACCGCGACGUGCUCGGAUGCGUGCAUGACAGUUGCUUCCCCACCACACUUGCUACCUAA